AAUAGAUACCCAGGUAGUCCACGCCGUAAACGAUGAGUGCUAAGUGUUAGGGGGUUUCCGCCCCUUAGUGCUGCAGCUAACGCAUUAAGCACUCCGCCUGGGGAGUACGGUCGCAAGACUGAAACUCAAAGGAAUUGACGGGGGCCCGCACAAGCGGUGGAGCAUGUGGUUUAAUUCGAAGCAACGCGAAGAACCUUACCAGGUCUUGACAUCCCAUUGACCACUAUGGAGACAUAGUUUUCCCUUCGGGGACAACGGUGACAGGUGGUGCAUGGUUGUCGUCAGCUCGUGUCGUGAGAUGUUGGGUUAAGUCCCGCAACGAGCGCAACCCUUGUUCUUAGUUGCCAUCAUUUAGUUGGGCACUCUAAGGAGACUGCCGGUGACAAACCGGAGGAAGGUGGGGAUGACGUCAAAUCAUCAUGCCCCUUAUGACCUGGGCUACACACGUGCUACAAUGGACGGUACAAACGGUUGCCAACCCGCGAGGGGGAGCUAAUCCGGAUAAAACCAUUCUCAGUUCGGAUUGUAGGCUGCAACUCGCCUAC
Molecule: ribosomal RNA, 545 nt
Filed under: uncultured bacterium
Lineage: Bacteria
Description: bacterial SSU rRNA
Rfam family: Bacterial small subunit ribosomal RNA
Source: RNAcentral